RNAcentral lists this ribosomal RNA (383 nucleotides) under uncultured eukaryote. RNAcentral describes it as "partial 18S ribosomal RNA". It matches the Rfam family "Eukaryotic small subunit ribosomal RNA", at positions 592 to 976 of the family's 1831-position model. The record is from RNAcentral.
UGUAAGCGUAUACCAAAGUUGUUGCAGUUAAAACGCUCGUAGUCGGAAUUUGGCAGUUCCGGAUGUGUGCACGUCGUGUGCGCACUUCGCGGGGAUUGCUUUUGUGGUCUUGCGUAGGAUGAGGCACUUUUAUUAGUGAACGUCCUCACGCAACCACUUUUUACUGUGAGAAAAUCAGAGUGCUCAAAGCAGGCAUUUGCCGUGAAUGUAUUAGCAUGGAAUAAUAGAAUAGGACUUGGUUCUAUUUUGUUGGUUUGUUGGGACUGAGUAAUGAUUAAGAGGGACAGUUGGGGGGCAUUUGUAUUUCGGUGCUAGAGGUGAAAUUCUUAGAUUACCGAAAGACAAACUGCUGCGAAAGCGUCUGCCAAGGAUGUUUUCAUUGA